GUCGUCGUGGCCGAGUGGUUAAGGCGAUGGACUUGAAAUCCAUUGGGGUCCUCCCCGCAUAGGUUCGAAUCCUAUCGGCGACG
This is a non-coding RNA of Octopus bimaculoides (California two-spot octopus), 83 nucleotides long. Lineage: Eukaryota; Metazoa; Mollusca; Cephalopoda; Octopoda; Octopodidae. The record is from Rfam.